Molecule: ribosomal RNA, 273 nt
Filed under: uncultured bacterium
Lineage: Bacteria
Description: partial 16S ribosomal RNA
Rfam family: Bacterial small subunit ribosomal RNA
Source: RNAcentral
CACGUACCGUACGAACGUUAUUCGGAAUUAUUGGGCUUAAAGGGUGCGUAGGCGGCGUCGUAAGUCGGGUGUGAAAUCCCUCAGCUCAACUGAGGAACUGCGCCCGAAACUGCGACGCUUGAGGGAGACAGGGGUGAGCGGAACUGAUGGUGGAGCGGUGAAAUGCGUUGAUAUCCUCAGGAACACCGGUGGCGAAAGCGGCUCACUGGGUCUCUUCUGACGCUCAGGCACGAAAGCUAGGGUAGCGAACGGGAUUAGAAACCCUAGUAGUCC